This 207-nucleotide long non-coding RNA is filed under the name Mytilus galloprovincialis (Mediterranean mussel). Lineage: Eukaryota; Metazoa; Mollusca; Bivalvia; Mytilida; Mytilidae. The record is from RNAcentral.
AAGAAAAUCAAUCUCGUUGAGACGAUAAACGAUAAUCUAUAAAUAGCAAUACUAUCAUGACCAGUAAUAAUAUUUUAAGAAUAGAACAUAUAGUAUCUUGAUUGGUUGACAUGCGUAUAACGCCACUGUGAGCACUAGUGUCCUUUUCGUAGUUUUUAUUGAUGGAGGAGCCGAAUGGUCUAGAGAGAACCACCGACCUAUGGCCAG